This 580-nucleotide ribosomal RNA is filed under the name uncultured bacterium. RNAcentral describes it as "bacterial SSU rRNA". It matches the Rfam family "Bacterial small subunit ribosomal RNA", at positions 337 to 917 of the family's 1533-position model. The record is from RNAcentral.
UCCUACGGGAGGCAGCAGUGAGGAAUAUUGGUCAAUGGAGGCAACUCUGAACCAGCCAUGCCGCGUGAAGGAUGACGGCCCUAUGUGUUGUAAACUUCUUUUGAAUAGGAAGAAACUUAUCUACGUGUAGAUAACUGACGGUACUAUUAGAAUAAGGAUCGGCUAACUCCGUGCCAGCAGCCGCGGUAAUACGGAGGAUCCAAGCGUUAUCCGGAUUCAUUGGGUUUAAAGGGUCCGUAGGCGGGUCUUUAAGUCAGUGGUGAAAGCCGACAGCUCAACUGUCGAACUGCCAUUGAUACUGGAGACCUUGAGUACAAAUGAAGUAGGCGGAAUGAGUCAUGUAGCGGUGAAAUGCAUAGAUAUGACUCAGAACACCGAUUGCGAAGGCAGCUUACUAACAUGUAACUGACGCUGAGGGACGAAAGCGUGGGGAGCGAACAGGAUUAGAUACCCUGGUAGUCCACGCCGUAAACGAUCAUCACUCGCUGUUGGCGAUAUACUGUCAGCGGCCAAGCGAAAGUAUUAAGUGAUGCACCUGGGGAGUACGCCGGCAACGGUGAAACUCAAAGGAAUUGACGGA